Hypomesus transpacificus is the source of this 1195-nucleotide long non-coding RNA. RefSeq lists it as uncharacterized. The record is from RefSeq and is a predicted model, not a curated record. The transcript is spliced from 3 exons. NCBI's taxonomy places the organism in Eukaryota, Metazoa, Chordata, Actinopteri, Osmeriformes, Osmeridae.
GUGCAGUGCGGUGCUGUACUCGGCUCUGUGUGUGUGUAUGUGCAGUGCUGUGCUACGUCGGUCCAGAUGUUCUAGUCCUGUCUGUGUUGUGUCCCAGACCAGUCACAGGAGCAGAGGUACAACUCCAUCGCCGUGGCGGGAGCCGCCCUGGGGGCGGUCCUCGCUCUCUUCCUCAUCGCCGUGGUGAUCAUCGUCAUCUUCACCGCGCGCAGGGUCCCCCCGCCAGCCUACACCGACAAAGUGAUUGACCUCCCCCCGACCCACAAGCCCCCUCCUCCCUACACAGAGAGACCCCCCGCCAUCCCUCUGGCUGUCCACGCCACCCAGGUGGCAUCGCUAUCACAGGCUCGCCGGUCCGAGCACAGGCUGGAGACGUCCGAGAGGUCAGCAGCCCGGCCGGCCGCACCCCGCCCGCAUCCCAGGAGCCCCCCCCGCCAGCCACUGUCCUAUCAGGAGUGGGUGUGUCAUCAGAACGGCGCCGACCGCGUGUACAUCAACCACCGGGAGCACUACGUGUGACGGACGCCGUCGCAAGCCCCUCCCACCAUGUGACCUGUCAAUCAUCCAGCCCGACCAAUACCAAGCUUGUCGAGGCCACUCUCUCCACUGUGUUGAGCACGAGCAGCCAACCAGCAGGUGCCAUGACAGGACAGCCUCUCUCUUUAACCUUCACACACCUGGUCCUCGCCUCUCCUCCGCCUCAGCAGAGAGCAGAGGAAUGCCGUAGCGGCGGGAAAAAAAAACGAGCCACUCUUUCUGGGCACUUUGAAAUGGCCCACUUUGAGCUCUGUAAUGCCCAUCAGCAGUGAGGAAAGCUGUUGUGGUUGUGGUGUUAUGUUCUUUGCUGUAAUUCUAUCAGACAUGGUAACAUUGUCUGAAGGAGCUAAAACAAGUGUUACUGUAUCUGAGAGUCAAACAAGGCAGUGUUUGGAUUAGCACAGAAGCAAAAUGUAUUCACUGUUAUCUCUAAAAUGUGAAAAUCUGCCUGCAUGUACUGUAUAUAUACUGUAGCCGACGUGCUUGAAAAGUCUAAACUGAGUGAUAGAAAAAGAAAACUCCUGCACUGGAAAUUGAAAUGUGAAUUGUUGUUUUUGUUAUUCAAAUGUUAUUUUACUGUGAUAAUAUAGAAUUUCUUUCAACUGAUUACGUGCCAUAUUUAUAUUAGUGGGGUUCCUUUGGUGUAGAUACGAUCGUC